AUGGCAGACACAGGAGACGAGCUGAAGCUGCUGGGCAUGUGGGCGAGCCCGUACGUGGUCAGGGUGCAGCUCGCACUCCGCCUCAAGGGCGUGAGCUACGAGUACGUCGAGGAGGACCUCGCCAACAAGAGCGAGCUCUUCCUCCGCUCCAACCCGGUUCACAAGACGGUCCCGAUCCUCAUCCACAACGGCAAGCCCGUCUGCGAGUCCCAGGUCAUCCUCCAGUACAUCGACGAGGCCUUCGCCGGCGUCGGCCCGCCCCUCCUCCCCGCCGACCCCUACGAGCGCGCCGUCGCGCGCUUCUGGGCCGCCUACGUCGAGGACAAGCUGCUGGCGCCGUGGGGGAAGGUGUUCAGGGUGACCACCGACGAGGAGAGGGCCGAGUGGACGCGGCAGACGGCGGCGGCCCUGGGUCCUCUGGAGGAUGGCCUCAGGGAGUGCUCCAAGGGGAAGGGGUUCUUCGGCGGCGACUGCGUCGGGUACGUCGACGUCCUGCUCGGCAGCAUGGUGCCGUGGGUGCGCGCCACCGAGAGGCUCUCCGGCGACAAGUUAGUCGACGCCGGCAAGGCCCCGCUGCUGGCGGCAUGGAUGGACCGCAUUAGCGAGCUCGACGCCGCCAAGGCGGUCUUCCAGGACGUCGACAGGGUGGUUGAGUACGCCGGGGGAAUACAGACCCGGCUUUCCGCCGCGGCUGCAAGCACCCAAUAA
RNAcentral lists this ribosomal RNA (708 nucleotides) under Triticum aestivum (bread wheat). RNAcentral describes it as "partial small subunit ribosomal RNA". The record is from RNAcentral. Lineage: Eukaryota; Viridiplantae; Streptophyta; Magnoliopsida; Poales; Poaceae.